UUUCUUAGGACAUGGGCAGGUGUGGUAGGUGUGCAUCCCCACAGGCUUGGUCUCGGGAGCUAUGAACAAGUAGGAAGGGACCGAAAUCAUGCAGGGUAGUGGGCACUAGAUUGCAAUGGUGAAUGUGGGUGUUGACUGAAUCUCUGCUCUAGUGGAGCUGAAGCGGAUGGGAUGGGAGAGGGAGGCAGGGAUGAGGGCAAGAUUUCAUGCACCAAUUUAAUUUUGUGUAGUGAUGGCUUUUGCUUGGGUUACUUGCUGCAUUUGCAGAGGAAUCAUCCAGGAGCAGCAGCCAGAGGAGAAAUUGGCAGACAUGGACGUGAGCAGCCUGGACAUCCUUCUAAGCAGAGAUUAACAGACCUCAACUUUCUACCUUCCACAUAAUAGGUGCCAAUAUAAAAGAAGUGGAGGGUCAGCGUCCGCUCCCCUCAUGCGAUGCAAAGCGAGUGAGAGCGAUGAGAUAGCAAGCAUUACUGAUGCCAGGUAAGAGCUGUCCAGCUGGGAGUGGAGCAGCCACCACUCUCAAUGAGGUAAGUGUCUGUUUUGGUGAUUGCUCUGCUCACUGCCCACUUCGCUCAACAUAGGCACGUCCCAUUAGCUAGGUCUGUGUUUGUAAGAAAAUGUUCCUGACUAGCUAUGGUUCUGAGGGAGACAAGGUCCCCAUUUUCAGGGGCUGCUCACUUCUUUGUUCACAAGCGCUGUGUCCUCUGCAGAAAUCGUUAGAUCCAGAAAGUUGAUUCCAGGUGGUGAGUUGCUUGCCUUCCUCCUGUGUUUUUCUCUCUGUCUCUCUCCUCUGGUACGUUGGCCAACACACACCCUCUUCUGUCUCUCUGUCCUUGCCUUUCUUUGUGCUGUCUUCCUUCAUAGGACACGGGCAAGGUGCUAGGUGUGCAUCCCCACAGGCUAGGUCUUGGGAGCCAUGGAGAAGCAGAAGCAGAGAAAAAUCAUGUGGGGCAGUGGGUGCUACAGUGGAGCAGUGACUGUUGGUGUUGACUCGGUCACGGUUCAUCGAGUGGGCCUGAUGUAGACGGGACGGGAGAGGGAGGCAGGGAUGAGGGCAAGAUUACUUGGACCAAUUGAAUUUUGUGUAGUGAUGGCUUUUGCUUGGCUUUUUUCCUGUGCUUGCAUUGGAAUCGUCAAGGAGACGGUGGCAGACAUGGAGCUGAGGAGCCUGGACAUCCUUCUAAGCAGACAUGAACAGUCCUCACCUUUCUGCCUCUCGCAUAACUGGCUGUGAGUAAGCGUACUAAGGGAAAAUAAGUCACGUGCCAGAAUCUACUGCCCUCAUGCUAUGGAAAGCAAUGAGACUGCGAGUAUUGUCGAUGCCACGCAAAAGCCGUCCAACUGGGAGCGGAACAACUGCUACUCUGAGAUAAGUGUCUGUUUUGGUGAUUGCUCUGCUCACGGGCCUCCCUGCUCCUGGUAGGGACGCCACAUUAGCUGGGGCUGGGUUUGUAAGAAAAUGUUUUUGACUAGCUGUAGUUACGAAGGACACAAAGUCCCCAUUUUCAAGGGCUGCUCAGUUCUCUGGCCAUGAGCGGCGAGUCCUCUGCAGCAGAAGGUUGGAUCCAGGAGGAUGACUGCAGGUGGUGAGUUGUUUGCCUUCCACCUGUGUUUUUCACUCUGUCUCUCUCUGUUCUCUAGUAUGUUGGCCAACACACGCCCUCUCUCUGUCUGUCUGUAUGUCUCACCUUUCUUUGUGCCAUCUCCCUUCAAAGGACAUGGGUGGGGUGCUCAGUGUGCAUCCCCACAGGCUAGGUCUUGGGCGCCAUGGAGAAGGAAGAGCAGAGAAAAAUCAUGAGAGGCAGUGGGGCUGAAGUGGAGCGGUGACUGUUUACUCAUCUCUGUUCAUUGAGUUGGACUCAGGUGGAUGGCAUGGGAGAGGAAGGAAGGGAUGAGGGUAAGAUUUCAUGCACGAAUAGAACUUGUUGUCCUGAUGGCUCAUGGGUGGGUUUUGCAUGUGCACUUUGAGAGGAAGUGUCCAGGAACCCCAGGCUGAGCAGAAACUGGCAGAAGUGGACCUGAUCAGCCUGAGCAUCCUUCUAAGCAGACAUGAACAGUCCUUUCCUUUUUGCCUCCCGCUUAACUUGCUGUGGGUAAGUGAUCAAUGCUUUGAAUUCCACAUCUGUACUCGCUGUAGUUUUCUUUGCAGGCUAGAAGCCCAACAAUCUGCAAGCCAAAAACUGUCCAACAGGGGAAACAGAAAGCAAUUAAGCCAAAAACAAGCCCAAUUUCUGCAGUUCCUUUGCAGGCCCCCAGCGAGUAUGAGACCAGCCCCGAGCAAGUCUUCUACAUCGCCCACCUCACCCGCAGGCAGCAGGAUGUGUUGUGGGUGGUGGCCGUAACUUCGGCAGGACGCAGCAACAUCAGUGCAAAGGUCACUGGGAAAGUACCACAGACAAAGAAGUCAAGGGUAAGAGCCCAUCCCGGUUGUAGAUGGAAGGCGCGCAAAAGCCGUGAGACAGCGAGCGUUGUUGAUGCCAGGCUAUGCAGCUGCCAUCGAGCUGGGAGCAGAGCAGCUGUCACCAUCAGUGAGAUAAGUGUCUGGUUAGGUGAGAGCUCUGCUCACUGCCCACUUGGCUCCAGGUACAAAGGCCCUGUUAGCUGGGGCUGGGUUUAUAACAAAAUGUUCCUGACUAGCUGUGGUUAUGAGGGAGACAAGGUCCCCAUUUUCAGGGGCUGCUCAUUUCUCUGUUCACAAGUGGUGUGUACUCUGCAGAAAAGGUUGGAUCCAGGAGGAUGAUUCCAGGUGGUGAGUUGCUUGCUUUCCUCCCGUGUUUCCAUCUCUCUCUCUCUCUCUCUCUCUUCUCUUGUGUGUUUGCCAACACUCUCUCUGUCAAUCUGUCCUUGCCUCUUUUUGUGCUGUCUCCCUUCAGCACGCACAGGCAGGCGUGCUAGGUGUGUAUCCACACAGGCUCCGUCUCGGGAGCCAUGGAGAAGUAGGAGGGGACGAAAAUCAUGCGGGGUAGUGGACGUGAGAGUGGAGUGGAUACUGUUGACUGUCACUGGUCAUUGACUGAGGCUGAUGUAGAUGGGAUGGGAGAGGGAGGCAGAGGUGACCGGAGAUUUCACGCACCUUCAUAGCUGUGUGUAAUGCUGGCUCAUGCAUGGCUUUUGCAGCUGCGCUGGCAGAGGAAUUGUCCAGGACUUCUACCCAGAGGAGAGGCUGAUCAACCUGAACAUCCUUUUAAGCAGACAUGAGCAAUCCUUAGCUUUCUGCCUCCUGCAUAACUGGGUUUGAGUAAGAAGUCAGUGCUUUCAAUUCCAUAUCUGUACUCGCUGUAUUAUUCUUCACAGGCUGUGUUCUUCCUCGCUGGGUGUGGGGCUCUGAGAUUGUCUUAGGAGGAGCCAGAGUCUGCUGUGCAGAGGGAUUAUUUCUUGUGCCGUUACAAGGGGUGCAUUUUAGUUGCAAUACUAAAGGUGUAAUGGAGGGGGAGGCGGAGCCCUGACGUGUUGAAGAGGUGAAAAGAAUAACCUAUGCGACGUUGUCCACUGGGAUGAUAACUUGUUUGUUUUUCCUCCUUGUGCUGCAUUUAGUACCAAGGGAAGAGAAGUUACGUAUUAGAGUCUACUGUCCUCAUGCAAUGGAAAGUGAGCGAGAGCGAUGAGACCGUAAGCAUUGUUGAUGCAAGGCAGGAGCCGUCCAGCUGGCAGUGGAGCAGUCGCUAUUAUCAGUGAGACAAGUGUCUGUUGUGUGUGCAGAGGAAUUGUCCAGGAGCCCUAGCCAGAGGAGAAGGUGGCAGAAGUGGACCUGAGCAGCCUGGACAUCCUUGUAAGGAGACUUUAACAGUUCUCAGCAUUCUGCCUCUCACCAAACUGGCUGAGAGUAAGCUGUCAGUGCUUAGAAUUCCUCAUCUGUACUCGAUGUAGUUCUCUUCACAGGCCGUGUGCUUCCUCGUUGGGUAAGGGGCUCUGUGGGAUUAGGGCUGGAACUCCUCACCAGAAAAUGUUGUGAAGGCCAAGACAAAAAUGGGGUUAAAAAAAGAACUAGGCAAAUCCAUGGAGGGUCGGUCCAUCAAUGUCUGUUAGUCAGGAUGAGCAGGGAUAGUGUCUCUAGCCCCUUCUGCUUUCCAGGCAGCUUAGCGUC
Long non-coding RNA from Mauremys mutica (yellowpond turtle), 4084 nucleotides. RefSeq lists it as uncharacterized. The record is from RefSeq and is a predicted model, not a curated record. The transcript has 6 exons. Lineage: Eukaryota; Metazoa; Chordata; Testudines; Geoemydidae.